UACAUAGGUAGCAAGCGUUAUCCGGAAUAACUGGGCGUAAAGGGAGCGUAGGUGGUUGUGCAAGUUGUAUGUGAAAGCCCCAGGCUUAACCUGGGAACUGCAUACAAAACUGUACUUCUAGAGUGUGGGAAAGGCAAGUGGAAUUCCUAGUGUAGCGGUAGAAUGCGUAGAGAUUAGGAGGAACACCAGAGGCGAAGGCGGCUUGCUGGAACACAACUGACACUGAGGCUCGAAAGCGUGGGGAGCAAACAGGAUUAGAUACCCUGGUAGUCCACGCUGUAAACGAUGGAUACUAAAUGUAGGCGGAAUCGACUCUGCCUGUAUUGAAGCUAACGCGUUAAGUAUCCCGCCUGAGUAGUACGGCCGCAAGGUUGAA
This 376-nucleotide ribosomal RNA is filed under the name uncultured bacterium. RNAcentral describes it as "bacterial SSU rRNA". It matches the Rfam family "Bacterial small subunit ribosomal RNA", at positions 524 to 898 of the family's 1533-position model. The record is from RNAcentral.